UCGCUGCUGUGACGAAUUAUGAAUAAAUUCACAUGUCAGACUUCAGAGAUUUUUUAUAAGAAUCAAUGAGAUUAAAAUUCAUAUUCUCUGAGCAGAGU
Molecule: small nucleolar RNA, 98 nt
Organism: Ziziphus jujuba (common jujube)
Lineage: Eukaryota; Viridiplantae; Streptophyta; Magnoliopsida; Rosales; Rhamnaceae
Product: small nucleolar RNA R64/Z200 family
Exons: 1
Source: RefSeq, a predicted model, not a curated record